Molecule: long non-coding RNA, 249 nt
Filed under: Ricinus communis (castor bean)
Lineage: Eukaryota; Viridiplantae; Streptophyta; Magnoliopsida; Malpighiales; Euphorbiaceae
Description: long non-coding RNA (RCOM_LNC000943)
Source: RNAcentral
UCAGCCCGUGCUGAUCCUUUAGCCUUCUUUGGAUGCUCCUUGGCACGGGCAUUGGAACGGCCGUGCUUCCCAGCACGGCUAGGGGUUGUGUCCCGUGCUGCCUUCGGAAGCCGUGACAAUUGCUCUUUAUCCUUCAACACGGUCUUGACUCUGGCCGUGCUCAUCAGCACGGCCUGGUGAUGCAGCCCGUGAUGGCCACGGAAACCGUGGUGAAACGGAGUUUUUCUGGGCUUGCCUUUUGCCGACUCG